Molecule: ribosomal RNA, 492 nt
Filed under: uncultured bacterium
Lineage: Bacteria
Description: partial 16S ribosomal RNA
Rfam family: Bacterial small subunit ribosomal RNA
Source: RNAcentral
AGUGAACGCUGGCGGUAGGCCUAACACAUGCAGGUCGAACGGCAGCACAGUAAGAGCUUGCUCUUACGGGUGGCGAGUGGCGGACGGGUGAGGAAUACAUCGGAAUCUACUUUUUCGUGGGGGAUAACGUAGGGAAACUUACGCUAAUACCGCAUACGACCUACGGGUGAAAGCAGGGGAUCUUCGGACCUUGCGCGAUUGAAUGAGCCGAUGUCGGAUUAGCUAGUUGGCGGGGUAAAGGCCCACCAAGGCGACGAUCCGUAGCUGGUCUGAGAGGAUGAUCAGCCACACUGGAACUGAGACGCGGUCCAGACUCCUACGGGAGGCAGCAGUGGGGAAUAUUGGACAAUGGGCGCAAGCCUGAUCCAGCCAUACCGCGUGGGUGAAGAAGGCCUUCGGGUUGUAAAGCCCUUUUGUUGGGAAAGAAAAGCAGCAGGUUAAUACCCCGCUGUUCUGACGGUACCCAAAGAAUAAGCACCGGCUAACUUCGUG